UACGUAGGGUGCGAGCGUUAAUCGGAAUUACUGGGCGUAAAGCGUGCGCAGGCGGCUUUGCAAGACAGAUGUGAAAUCCCCGGGCUCAACCUGGGAACUGCAUUUGUGACUGCAUGGCUUGAGUGCGGCAGAGGGGGAUGGAAUUCCGCGUGUAGCAGUGAAAUGCGUAGAUAUGCGGAGGAACACCGAUGGCGAAGGCAAUCCCCUGGGGCCUGCACUGACGCUCAUGCACGAAAGCGUGGGGAGCAAACAGG
Molecule: ribosomal RNA, 254 nt
Filed under: uncultured bacterium
Lineage: Bacteria
Description: partial 16S ribosomal RNA
Rfam family: Bacterial small subunit ribosomal RNA
Source: RNAcentral